RNAcentral lists this ribosomal RNA (592 nucleotides) under uncultured cyanobacterium. Its description in RNAcentral is "bacterial SSU rRNA". It matches the Rfam family "Bacterial small subunit ribosomal RNA", at positions 8 to 645 of the family's 1533-position model. The record is from RNAcentral. Lineage: Bacteria; Bacillati; Cyanobacteriota.
AGAGUUUGAUCAUGGCUCAGGAUGAACGCUGGCGGUCUGCUUAACACAUGCAAGUCGAACGAACUCUUCGGAGUGAGUGGCGGACGGGUGAGUAACGCGUGAGAAUCUACCUGUGGGUCGGGGACAACCACUGGAAACGGUGGCUAAUACCGGAUGAGCCGAAAGGUAAAAGAUUUAUUGCCCACAGAUGAGCUCGCGUCUGAUUAGCUAGUUGGUAAGGUAAAAGCGUACCAAGGCGACGAUCAGUAGCUGGUCUGAGAGGAUGAGCAGCCACACUGGGACUGAGACACGGCCCAGACUCCUACGGGAGGCAGCAGUGGGGAAUUUUCCGCAAUGGGCGAAAGCCUGACGGAGCAAGACCGCGUGGGGGAGGAAGGUUUUUGGAUCGUAAACCCCUUUUGUCAAGGAAGAAGCUCUGACGGUACUUGACGAAUAAGCCUCGGCUAACUCCGUGCCAGCAGCCGCGGUAAUACGGAGGAGGCAAGCGUUAUCCGGAAUGAUUGGGCGUAAAGCGUCUGUAGGUGGCCAGCUAAGUCUGCUGUUAAAGAUCACAGCUCAACUGUGGGAAGGCAGUGGAAACUGGCAAGCUAGA